This 65-nucleotide transfer RNA is filed under the name Procambarus clarkii (red swamp crayfish). Its description in RNAcentral is "tRNA-Tyr". The record is from RNAcentral. Lineage: Eukaryota; Metazoa; Arthropoda; Malacostraca; Decapoda; Cambaridae. RNAcentral also lists the same sequence under 1 other name.
AAUAAAAUGGCCGAGUUUUAGGCGCUAAACUGUAAAUUUAGAUACAAGAUUUUUCUUUUUUAUUA